UACGUAGGGUGCGAGCGUUGUCCGGAAUUACUGGGCGUAAAGAGCUUGUAGGUGGUUUGUCGCGUUGUUCGUGAAAUCUCACGGCUCAACUGUGAGCGUGCGGGCGAUACGGGCAGACUAGAGUACUGCAGGGGAGACUGGAAUUCCUGGUGUAGCGGUGGAAUGCGCAGAUAUCAGGAGGAACACCGGUGGCGAGGGCGGGUCUCUGGGCAGUAACUGACGCUGAGAAGCGAAAGCGUGGGGAGCGAACAGG
Molecule: ribosomal RNA, 253 nt
Filed under: uncultured bacterium
Lineage: Bacteria
Description: partial 16S ribosomal RNA
Rfam family: Bacterial small subunit ribosomal RNA
Source: RNAcentral